GGGCGCGUAGCUCAGUUGGCAGAGCAUCUGACUUUUAAUCAGAGGGUCACAGGUUCGAAUCCUGUCGCGCCUACCA
RNAcentral lists this transfer RNA (76 nucleotides) under Rhodospirillaceae bacterium. Its description in RNAcentral is "tRNA-Lys". It matches the Rfam family "tRNA". From Rfam's summary of the family: Transfer RNA (tRNA) molecules are approximately 80 nucleotides in length. Their secondary structure includes four short double-helical elements and three loops (D, anti-codon, and T loops). Further hydrogen bonds mediate the characteristic L-shaped molecular structure. tRNAs have two regions of fundamental functional importance: the anti-codon, which is responsible for specific mRNA codon recognition, and the 3' end, to which the tRNAs corresponding amino acid is attached (by aminoacyl-tRNA synthetases). tRNAs cope with the degeneracy of the genetic code in two manners: having more than one tRNA (with a specific anti-codon) for a particular amino acid; and 'wobble' base-pairing, i.e. permitting non-standard base-pairing at the 3rd anti-codon position. The record is from RNAcentral. RNAcentral also lists the same sequence under 1 other name. Lineage: Bacteria; Pseudomonadati; Pseudomonadota; Alphaproteobacteria; Rhodospirillales; Rhodospirillaceae.